RNAcentral lists this ribosomal RNA (443 nucleotides) under uncultured bacterium. Its description in RNAcentral is "partial 16S ribosomal RNA". It matches the Rfam family "Bacterial small subunit ribosomal RNA", at positions 338 to 795 of the family's 1533-position model. The record is from RNAcentral.
CCUACGGGAGGCAGCAGUGGGGAAUAUUGGGCAAUGGGCGCAAGCCUGACCCAGCAACGCCGCGUGAAGGAAGAAGGCUUUCGGGUUGUAAACUUCUUUUGUCAGGGACGAAGCAAGUGACGGUACCUGACGAAUAAGCCACGGCUAACUACGUGCCAGCAGCCGCGGUAAUACGUAGGUGGCAAGCGUUAUCCGGAUUUACUGGGUGUAAAGGGCGUGUAGGCGGGGAAGCAAGUCAGAUGUGAAAACCACGGGCUCAACCUGUGGCCUGCAUUGGGAACUGGUUUUCUUGAGUACUGGGGAGGCAGACUGAAUUCCUAGUGUAGCGGUGAAAUGCGUAGAGAUUAGGAGGAACACCAGUGGCGAAGGCGGUCUGCUGGACAGCAACUGACGCUGAGGCGCGAAAGCGUGGGGAGCAAACAGGAUUAGAUACCCCAGUAGUC